Regulatory RNA element from Tribolium castaneum (red flour beetle), 114 nucleotides. It matches the Rfam family "Potassium channel RNA editing signal". From Rfam's summary of the family: This family represents a group of sequences related to the human potassium channel Kv1.1 hairpin element which directs the efficient modification of an adenosine to inosine by an adenosine deaminase acting on RNA (ADAR). The record is from Rfam. Lineage: Eukaryota; Metazoa; Arthropoda; Insecta; Coleoptera; Tenebrionidae.
GUCGGGUACGGUGACAUGGUGCCAAAGACAUACAUCGGCAUGUUUGUAGGCGCUUUGUGCGCCCUUGCCGGUGUCUUAACCAUCGCACUUCCGGUUCCGGUCAUCGUUUCCAAC